UAUGUUCAUUUCAUUUGUUUUACUCUACAGUUCUGGAAAAGGGCUUCAAAACAGGGACUGGCACCAAUUUUCACCCUCCACAACCGCCAUUAAUGAUUGCUGUUUUCAUAUAUGUUCUUAGAAUGAGGGUUUUAAUAAGAUGAUUUACUCCCUUGCCCUUAGAGUGAUGAUACUGCUAAAAGUGUGAUCAUACAUAUUACAGUUUUGGGUGCCCUAAAAAAUUAGGGUUGAUUAGCGUCAUAUGUCUAGGUACUGAUUAAAAUGUUUUUCACAGAUUGUUAUUUUUUUUCCUUGCUUUGUAAAGAUUAUUGUUGAUUCUAUAUUUUGCCCAGCAACUAGAUUAAACUACAUUUUGAAAUGUGACCCUGUAUAAGCCAUUUGUUAUUGCUGGAAUUCAUUCCAUAAAAUGUUGUAAUACCCUUCAAAUCUUCAGUGAAAAACAGUUUUUCUUUACACUUA
Molecule: long non-coding RNA, 459 nt
Organism: Cryptomeria japonica (Japanese cedar)
Lineage: Eukaryota; Viridiplantae; Streptophyta; Pinopsida; Cupressales; Cupressaceae
Exons: 2
Source: RefSeq, a predicted model, not a curated record